This is a long non-coding RNA of Gallus gallus (chicken), 1538 nucleotides long. The record is from Ensembl. Lineage: Eukaryota; Metazoa; Chordata; Aves; Galliformes; Phasianidae.
CUCCUCUCCCAGCUGAGCUUGCAGCUGCUGCUGCGUUAAAUCACUGUUGUUUCCACCAAUGAGUUGUUCCCCUAAAAUCCGCCAGCGUGGCUGCGGAGCGUAGAGAUCCAAUGGAAGACAAUUCUACUCACGGUUUAAAGUGGCUUCCACCAGAUACAUCAGCUAUGGAUGGUGUUGGGACUGGCAGUUUAUAUGCCCUGUGGGAUGCUGAGGACGUCGGCAUCAGGAGAUCAGCUGGUGAUUCACUCUAUUUCUCAGAUCACUGGAUGCAAAAAUGCACCUUGCUCAUGGCUUGUCCUCCAUAAAUGAAGCUGUUCUUCUGCUGUCUUCUAUUGCUGCUGUUGGGCCUUGUUACACUAAUCAUAGAAUCCUUAAGGCUGGAAAACACCUCUAAGAUUAUCAAGUCCAAACGUUGACCCACUCCCACCGUGCCCACUGACCACAUCCCUCAGAGCCAUAUCUGCAUGGUUCUUAAACACCUCCAGGGACCGAUAUCCAACCUGGACUUCCCCAGUGCAACUUGAGGCCAUUCCCUCUGAUCACAGGCCGGGUUACCACUCUAUGAGACAAGUCACUUGAGGCAGUGGCAGCCUGUUCAGAAUGGUAGAGCUGUGCAGCACUGGAACCCCUCCUGAUGCCAUCAGGUGUCCCAAACAGAAAUCCCAGAAGGGUGUGAAGCUUGGAUGGCCGCAGCCUGCUGGAUUUGCACUGACUUACGUUCUCAACAGACUUCAAGUUCUGAAGCUUUAGGAAACAUCAACAACAUCAACACAGUUUUAUGACAAGACCAAUACAUACCUAUGAACCAGCAGCGAUGUGAAGAUGCAUUUUAUGGUAUGGUGCACCUUUUUAUCCCUGGAUUUGUGUAGGGAGGUGUUGCAGCAUCACAGCAUGGUUGGCAGAACCUCUGGGUCCAUCUGCUCCAACCCUGCUCCAGUAGGACCACCUGAAGCAGGGUGUCCACAUCCAUGUUCUCCUUAAUCAAGUGGAGUUUCCCUCUGAAUGACAUCUUUUGCCUUUACAUUUUGGAUAAAUCCCUUAAAAACGGUGAUUAAAUAAUCUAGCUUUCUGAAAAGAGUUUGCCAAGGGCAUUCUUACAUCAUCUUUCACAUGGGACAUUUUCUUGUUUGUUUUAGUUUAAGUUAUAUCUAUUAUCAUUUUCAGAGACUGAAUUCGUUGUAGGAACCAAAGCAGGCAAUUGUGUUGUAAUGAAAUAUCUUAUGCUCCGGAGAAUUUACGUUCACUCUGAGGUAUUCUUCUCAUCUAGGAAGUAUUGAUUUGAGGGGAGAACAUUGAAUGGAAUUGCCGAGUAGUUCUGAUCCGUUCAACCAGCAUGAAUCCAGAGCGCGUCCUUAGAAGUCAAUGAAAUCUCAUUGACUCAGAAGUGGUGCAGAUAAAUGAGUUCAUGAAGGGGAACUCGGUGGGGAAAGCUAAAUAACAUUGGUCUGAUCAAAAUGGGAAGCUAACAAAAGAGAUGGACCUGGAGACUUUGGUUUUCUUGGGUGGAGCAUCGGGGUGUUUGGGCAUAUGUUUGCUUG